Molecule: long non-coding RNA, 350 nt
Filed under: Zea mays
Lineage: Eukaryota; Viridiplantae; Streptophyta; Magnoliopsida; Poales; Poaceae
Description: long non-coding RNA (ZMAY_LNC001066)
Source: RNAcentral
GCGUUGUUCGGCCCUCGAAGCUCCGCCGCGCUCGCGGAUAUGAUAUCUCCCAGACCCGAGGACCGCGUCCUCGACUGCGCCCUCCUCGUCAGUAGGGUCCGGAGCAACGAGAAGGUCGUGGUGCUGUCAAACAGCGUCACGCUCAAGAUCAAAGCCAUGGCAGAGGUUAGUACGGUAACCACCCAAACCCAACCCUGCCUGCUUGCUGUGUGCGUUCGAACUGAACCUGGUUGUGUUGCGUUGCCCGCGGCGCAGGGCCUGCCAUGCGAGGGAGCCAAGGAGUUCCGCGAGUCCCUCGUGGACCCGUCCUCCAGGCGGUUCAUGUGGGCGGCCAGCGCCCCACGGGGGUC